This 441-nucleotide ribosomal RNA is filed under the name uncultured Oomycota. RNAcentral describes it as "LSU rRNA". It matches the Rfam family "Eukaryotic large subunit ribosomal RNA", at positions 165 to 604 of the family's 3401-position model. The record is from RNAcentral. Lineage: Eukaryota; Oomycota.
AGCAUAGCGAUUUGGGAUAAGUCCCUUGGAAGAGGGCAGCAUGGAGGGUGAUACUCCCGUCUCUGCUCAGGUUGUCUGUGUGUGCGAUACGCUUUCUUUGAGUCGAGUUGUUUGGGAAUACAGCUCAAAGCAGGUGGUAAAUUCCAUCUAAAGCUAAAUAUUGGUGCGAGACCGAUAGCGAACAAGUACCGUGAGGGAAAGAUGAAAAGAACUUUGAAAAGAGAGUUAAAAAGUACCUGAAACUGUUGAAAGGGAACCGUAUCGUUUCUAGUGUGUAUCCUAUGCAUAUUUCAUUGGCGGUUGUAAAAUUGCUGGUGCCCUGUGUAUGGGUGUGACGUCAGAGUCAGUUUGAAUUGCGGGAGAUGGGUAGUGAGGAGGUGCGUCACUUCUUGUGAAAGUUACAGCUCGCUAUCUAGUAGCCGUGGUUGAGACUGAGGUGCC